RNAcentral lists this long non-coding RNA (1546 nucleotides) under Canis lupus familiaris (dog). RNAcentral's name for it is "lncRNA (ENSCAFG00040000612.1)". Lineage: Eukaryota; Metazoa; Chordata; Mammalia; Carnivora; Canidae. The record is from RNAcentral.
AAUAUUUCCUAUCAUCCUAUAAGUGGAUUGUCGUAUUGUAAAUGUCUGCCGAUACUUGCUCACCAGGUUUUGAAGGGGAGCUGGUGGAGUUCCUGAAAGUGACAUAAAAACUUGGUGAAGGAUCCAGACAACGAUCCACAGUUGUAAGGCUGAUGGAGCUCGAAGGGAAUUCAGGGGACCCUCAGUUGCUACUUCCUGGCUUUAAAUGGAGACGUGCCCACAGCAUGGACGCAGGGAAUUUGGCACCAUUCGUCAUAAAUUCACAGUGUUUCCUGGGAUGACUUGCAAGCUUUGAAACUAACUCUUUGGACAUAGGCAGUGGAUUGUACGUACAUGUUUCAUAUUUAUCUUCCAUGACUGAUUGAAAGCUCCGUGAAGGAAGACCUGUGACGUCCUAUUCAUAGCUGUAUUCAACAACCCAGCACACAAAACCAAUUCUUGAUCAAUGAGUGAAUAAGAUACAUUGCCCUCUACUAUAUCUCCUCCAUUGAGAAUGUGCCUACCCAGGGAUACCCCUUUUAUUUUAUGAUAGGCACUCUAUUAAUUUGCUAGGGCUGCCAUAACAAAGUGCCACAGACUGGCUGGUCCAAAGGAUAGCAAAUCAUUGUCUCCGUUCUGGAGGUAGGAAGUCCAAGAUCAAGGUUCCAGAAGGUUGGUUCCUUCUGGGGCUGUGAAAAAGAAUAUAUUUCAUGUUUCUCUCUCUCCUAGCUUCUGGGGCUAGCUAGCAGCGUUUGGUAUUUCUUUCUGUUUGAAGCAUCACUCUCAUCUCUGCCUUCAUCUUCAUGGGGCAUUCUAACUCUAUGUAUGUCUGUGUCCAGAUUCCUUGUCUUAUAAGGACACUGGUCAUAGUGGAUUAAGAUCCACCCUUGGGACGCCUGGGUGGGUCAGUGGUUGAGCAUCUGCCUUCAGCCCAGGGCAUGAUCCUGGGGUCCUGGGAUCGAGUCCCACAUCAUGCUCCCUGCGAGGACCCUGCUUCUCCCUCUGCCUGUGUCUCUGCCUCUCCCUCUCUGUCCCUCAUGAAUAAAUAAAUAAAUCUUAAGAAAAAAAGACUGACACUGAUGAUUUCAUUUUAACUCAACUACCUCUGCAAAGACCCUGUAGCCAAGUAAGGUCAGACUGGGUGAUACUGGGGGUUAAGACCCAAUAUACCUUAUUCAAUCUAUAAUAGCUAUCAUGUUUUCUUCUUAUUUUUAUUUCAUUUUCUGCAAUUUUGUGAGUCCUUUAAGUGGACAUUAAAUGUCAUUUGUAAAUCCAAAACAAACAAACAAACAAACCAUUGACAAGAUGGGGAAAGAAUAAAGAAGAUUGAUAAAAGGACCAAUAACACUAUCCUCAUCUCCAUUCAUAGGAUACAUAGAGCAGACCCAAUGUUGGGUAUGGGGUGGGGUCUCACCACAGUCUGUGACAGCUUCCUUCCUAUGUGGCCUACUUCUUGGGCUUCAGGUAUUCAAGUCAGUUUGUAAUAGUGAUCCCUGUCCACAGGACCACCUGGGUUGCACCCCAGCCAGUCCCAUUGUAUCUAGAAAAUCUACCCCUCUGUUUUUCC